GGGUCGUUAGCUCAGAGGUAGAGCAGGAGACUUUUAAUCUCUUGGUCGAAGGUUCGAUCCCUUCACGACCCACCA
Molecule: transfer RNA, 75 nt
Filed under: Lysobacterales bacterium
Lineage: Bacteria; Pseudomonadati; Pseudomonadota; Gammaproteobacteria; Lysobacterales
Also listed under: 1 other name
Description: tRNA-Lys
Rfam family: tRNA
About the family: Transfer RNA (tRNA) molecules are approximately 80 nucleotides in length. Their secondary structure includes four short double-helical elements and three loops (D, anti-codon, and T loops).
Source: RNAcentral